UACGAAGGGGGCUAGCGUUGCUCGGAAUCACUGGGCGUAAAGGGUGCGUAGGCGGGUCUUUAAGUCAGGGGUGAAAUCCUGGAGCUCAACUCCAGAACUGCCUUUGAUACUGAGGAUCUUGAGUCCGGGAGAGGUGAGUGGAACUGCGAGUGUAGAGGUGAAAUUCGUAGAUAUUCGCAAGAACACCAGUGGCGAAGGCGGCUCACUGGCCCGAAACUGACGCUGAGGCACGAAAGCGUGGGGAGCAAACAGG
This 253-nucleotide ribosomal RNA is filed under the name uncultured bacterium. RNAcentral's name for it is "partial 16S ribosomal RNA". It matches the Rfam family "Bacterial small subunit ribosomal RNA", at positions 524 to 776 of the family's 1533-position model. The record is from RNAcentral.